Molecule: ribosomal RNA, 425 nt
Filed under: uncultured bacterium
Lineage: Bacteria
Description: partial 16S ribosomal RNA
Rfam family: Bacterial small subunit ribosomal RNA
Source: RNAcentral
GUAGGGAAUCUUGCGCAAUGGGCGAAAGCCUGACGCAGCCAUGCCGCGUGAAUGAUGAAGGUCUUAGGAUUGUAAAAUUCUUUCACCGGGGACGAUAAUGACGGUACCCGGAGAAGAAGCCCCGGCUAACUUCGUGCCAGCAGCCGCGGUAAUACGAAGGGGGCUAGCGUUGCUCGGGAUUACUGGGCGUAAAGGGAGCGUAGGCGGAUAGUUUAGUCAGAGGUGAAAGCCCAGGGCUCAACCUUGGAAUUGCCUUUGAUACUGGCUAUCUUGAGUAUGGAAGAGGUAUGUGGAACUCCGAGUGUAGAGGUGAAAUUCGUAGAUAUUCGGAAGAACACCAGUGGCGAAGGCGACAUACUGGUCCAUUACUGACGCUGAGGCUCGAAAGCGUGGGGAGCAAACAGGAUUAGAUACCCGAGUAGUCC